Molecule: small RNA, 110 nt
Filed under: Nitratireductor pacificus pht-3B
Lineage: Bacteria; Pseudomonadati; Pseudomonadota; Alphaproteobacteria; Hyphomicrobiales; Phyllobacteriaceae
Description: Nitratireductor sp. Pht-3B Rhizobiales sRNA Atu_At1
Rfam family: Rhizobiales sRNA Atu_At1
Source: Rfam by way of RNAcentral
GAACCGCCCGUGUCAACCGGGCGUGACGGUAAGGAAUACAGGAUGGAUUUUCCCGGUUUCCCCACCUGGCAUCGGCGCAUCGGCAGACGCGCUCCUGUCCCGUCCGGGCG